Molecule: long non-coding RNA, 497 nt
Organism: Passer domesticus (house sparrow)
Lineage: Eukaryota; Metazoa; Chordata; Aves; Passeriformes; Passeridae
Exons: 3
Source: RefSeq, a predicted model, not a curated record
UGCAAACAUAUCAGCCACUGGAUGAAAAGUUUACUGUUGAGCCUUCAUACUACAUUAUUCUGCAUCAGACAGAAAUGAAAUCACCUCCACAGAUGUGGCUGUUUCUCUGGGAAUGUUGACUGGUUGCUUUGACUCAGCAGGACAUGGCUCACAAAUACACUCAUGGUGCUCCUGAAUGGGUGAGGUAGAGUUUCAGAAAAGACAGCCAAGUUGUUACGACUGAACAAGGGAGAAGAACCGUCUGCCUGUUAAAAAUAUUAUGCAAGAUAGCCAGAAUAAACUGGAAUAAAUGCAAUUUAAAAUUCCAUUUUUGAAAACUCUACCAAGUUGAUAGUUUAAGUAAACAUUUUGCUGCCUGUAAGGUUACAGAGUAAGCAGGUUUGCAUUUAAACCUUAUACAAAAAUACAGUGGACCAAACAACAUUAACGGAACUAAAGCAAGUGGGCUGGAGCCAUCAAAUACUAGAAAGUAAAUACACAGGUAACUGUGUCUGUGU